This 133-nucleotide unclassified non-coding RNA is filed under the name uncultured Saccharomycetales. Its description in RNAcentral is "sequence contains ITS1". The record is from RNAcentral. Lineage: Eukaryota; Fungi; Ascomycota; Saccharomycetes.
AUGAAUUAUGUCGCAAGACAAUUCUUUCAAACACUUGUGAAUUAUAUUAUAUUUUGCUUUGGUCGGUGCAAACCGGCCAACAUUUAAACACAUCAAGAAUUAAAUUGUCUGAAACUGAAUAAAAAACUAUUCA